Molecule: ribosomal RNA, 411 nt
Filed under: uncultured Hyphomicrobiales bacterium
Lineage: Bacteria; Pseudomonadati; Pseudomonadota; Alphaproteobacteria; Hyphomicrobiales
Description: bacterial SSU rRNA
Rfam family: Bacterial small subunit ribosomal RNA
Source: RNAcentral
GAACGGCUGGCGCAGGCCUAACACAUGCAAGUCGAACGGGAAGCAUCCUUCGGGAUGUGGAGAGUGGCGCACGGGUGAGUAACGCGUGGGUAUCUGCCUCGAAGUGGGGGACAACCGCUGGAAACGGCGGCUAAUACCGCAUACGCCCUGUCUUUAUNGAUGGGGGAAAGCUUUAUNCGCUUCGAGAUGAACCCGCGUUGGAUUAGCUNGUUGGUGAGGUAACGGCUCACCAAGGCAUCGAUCCAUAGCUGGUCUGAGAGGAUGAUCAGCCACACUGGGACUGAGACACGGCCCAGACUCCUACGGGAGGCAGCAGUGGGGAAUAUUGGACAAUGGGGGCAACCCUGAUCCAGCCAUGCCGCGUGAAUGAAGAAGGCCUUAGGGUUGUAAAGUUCUUUCAACCGGUGAAGA